RNAcentral lists this ribosomal RNA (497 nucleotides) under uncultured bacterium. RNAcentral describes it as "partial 16S ribosomal RNA". It matches the Rfam family "Bacterial small subunit ribosomal RNA", at positions 28 to 507 of the family's 1533-position model. The record is from RNAcentral.
GACGAACGCUGGCGGCGUGCCUAAUACAUGCAAGUUGAGCGCUGAAGGUUGGUACUUGUACCGACUGGAUGAGCAGCGAACGGGUGAGUAACGCGUGUGGAAUCUGCCUUUGAGCGGGGUACAACAUGUGGAAACGAAUGCUAAUACCGCAUAAAAACUUUAAACACAAGUCUUAAGGUUGAAAGAUGCAAUUGCAUCACUCAAAGAUGAUCCCGCGUUGUAUUAGCUUGUUGGUGAGGUAAAGGCUCACCAAGGCGAUGAUACAUAGCCGACCUGAGAGGAUGAUCGGCCACAUUGGGACUGAGACCCGGCACAUACUCCUACGGGAGGCAGCAGUAGGGAAUCUUCGGGAAUGGGCGAAAGUCUGACCGAGAAAGGCCGAGGGCGUGAAGAGGGUCUUCGGAUCGUAAAACUCUGUUGGUAGAGAAGAACGUUGGUGAGAGUGGAAAGCUCAUCAAGUGACGGUAACUAGCAAGAAAGGGACGGCUAACUACGUG